Molecule: long non-coding RNA, 821 nt
Organism: Zonotrichia leucophrys gambelii
Lineage: Eukaryota; Metazoa; Chordata; Aves; Passeriformes; Passerellidae
Exons: 2
Source: RefSeq, a predicted model, not a curated record
CUUGGCUGCUGUGGGGAUAAGGAAGAGUCAGUCCCUAGAGGAGAAGCCUACAAGAAACAUCAAGGAGAGAACUUGCAGAAUUGGAUGCCCCCUAGAACUGACUCCUGCUGAUUUCUUGGGUGAGAACCAGCCAGUAUCCACGUGAAAGACUGCCACACUAACUCUGCUAGGGUAGACCUCACUUCCAGCUAACAAUCUUUAGGCAGAGAUGUGUAGUGUGGGUUGUGUUUGGUGAGGAGAUACUGCUGUGUGACCACAUCCAGUUAAAGGAACACAACCAACACCUCUCUUGCAUCAGUAGCAACAUUUUUUUUCUGAUGAGCAGCUGUUUUUGAUUGGCAAUGAUUUAACUCAGCUAUAGAACCUCCUAAGCAACCUAUUUGUGUGCAUUGGAUAUAUCAGAGAAUGGAGCCAUGCUGUAGCAUGACAACAGUGCAUGUGUUUGGUGAAGAAAAAUAGUGAGCAGAUGGGCACCAAUCAUUUCCUACCAGCACUUGGGUUGCCAUCCUGGCAUCCUUUCCUGUUAACAGACUGAAGCUGAAUAACUUGGGGCAUGAUGAGAAUCAGGAGUAAACUUAUUCUUUGGACGUCCUUAUUCUCUGCCCCUUCCUUGGUUGUUUACCCUGUCUUCUCAACUGAUGUGGAGCCUGAUGGAACCCAAGUUGUGUGUAUUUAUGAUUAAUAAGUUUCCUGAUUAUCUUUCAAUCUUCUAGUGUAUUCAUGAUGUUGAGACAUCAGUGCUGAUGAACUGUUUUUCAAAGUGAUAUGUUGUGCAAAUUAUUUCUUUUUUAUAAAAACAAUAAAGAUUCAGACUAAGGAGA